This 430-nucleotide ribosomal RNA is filed under the name Acidobacteriota bacterium. RNAcentral's name for it is "Acidobacteria bacterium partial 16S ribosomal RNA". It matches the Rfam family "Bacterial small subunit ribosomal RNA", at positions 355 to 776 of the family's 1533-position model. Lineage: Bacteria; Pseudomonadati; Acidobacteriota. The record is from RNAcentral.
UGGGGAAUAUUGGACAAUGGGCGAAAGCCUGAUCCAGCCAUGCCGCGUGUGUGAAGAAGGCCUUUUGGUUGUAAAGCACUUUAAGCGAGGAGGAGGCUACUUGGAUUAAUACUCUAGGAUAGUGGACGUUACUCGCAGAAUAAGCAUCGGCUAACUCUGUGCCAGCAGCCGCGGUAAUACAGAGGGUGCGAGCGUUAAUCGGAUUUACUGGGCGUAAAGCGUGCGUAGGCGGCUUCUUAAGUCGGAUGUGAAAUCCCUGAGCUUAACUUAGGAAUUGCAUUCGAUACUGGGAAGCUAGAGUAUGGGAGAGGAUGGUAGAAUUCCAGGUGUAGCGGUGAAAUGCGUAGAGAUCUGGAGGAAUACCGAUGGCGAAGGCAGCCAUCUGGCCUAAUACUGACGCUGAGGUACGAAAGCAUGGGGAGCAAACAGG